CAAAAACGCAGAGAUCACAACAGUCGGGUUCUCAACAUGGAGGAAAACACAGCAGUCAUUCCGACAAUAGUGUGUUGUGAACUGAUUAUCAACGAUUCCGACGACGAGGAGGAAUAUCUUACACACUGUUUAGCGUACCAUAAAUUCCCAAAUGCUGUUCCGAAGGAGAUGGUGCAUAUCCCUUAUCAGAAGUCAUGAUAACGCCAUUUAGACAAACUGGAAAUCUGAGUGCACAACAGAAGCAUUUCAAC
RNAcentral lists this unclassified non-coding RNA (251 nucleotides) under Mizuhopecten yessoensis (Yesso scallop). RNAcentral describes it as "putative nuclease HARBI1, transcript variant X1". The record is from RNAcentral. Lineage: Eukaryota; Metazoa; Mollusca; Bivalvia; Pectinida; Pectinidae.